RNAcentral lists this small nuclear RNA (21 nucleotides) under Arabidopsis thaliana (thale cress). RNAcentral's name for it is "snRNA_04273". Lineage: Eukaryota; Viridiplantae; Streptophyta; Magnoliopsida; Brassicales; Brassicaceae. The record is from RNAcentral.
GACCUUUUUGAUCGGUUUAUG